GGCUCUAUAGUUCAAGGGAUAGAACGAGGGUUUCCUAAACCCUAAAUUCGCGUUCGAGUCGCGGUGGAGCUACGA
Molecule: transfer RNA, 75 nt
Filed under: Alistipes sp. 58_9_plus
Lineage: Bacteria; Pseudomonadati; Bacteroidota; Bacteroidia; Bacteroidales; Rikenellaceae
Description: tRNA-Arg
Rfam family: tRNA
About the family: Transfer RNA (tRNA) molecules are approximately 80 nucleotides in length. Their secondary structure includes four short double-helical elements and three loops (D, anti-codon, and T loops).
Source: RNAcentral